GAUGAAGAACGUAGCGAAAUGCGAUACGUAAUGUGAAUUGCAGAAUUCAGUGAAUCAUCGAGUCUUUGAACGCACAUUGCGCCCCUUGGUAUUCCGAGGGGCAUGCCUGUUCGAGCGUCAUUUCAACCCUCAAGCACAGCUUGGUCUUGGGCUUCGCCGCUAACCCGGCGGGUCUUAAAAUCAGUGGCGGUGCCGUCGGGCCCUGAGCGCAGUAAUCUCUCUCGCUAUAGGGUCCCGGCGGAUGCUGGCCAGUAACCCCCAAUUUUCUAUGGUUGACCUCGGAUCAGGUAGGGAUACCCGCUGAACUUAAGCAUAUCAAUAAGCGGAGGA
This 330-nucleotide unclassified non-coding RNA is filed under the name soil metagenome. Its description in RNAcentral is "partial contains 5.8S ribosomal RNA, internal transcribed spacer 2, and large subunit ribosomal RNA". The stretch from base 1 to 120 matches the Rfam family "5.8S ribosomal RNA", at positions 35 to 154 of the family's 154-position model. The record is from RNAcentral.